UACGAAGGAUGCAAGCGUUAUCCGGAUUCAUUGGGUUUAAAGGGUGCGCAGGCGGAUAUGUAAGUCAGUGGUGAAAUCUCUGGGCUUAACCCAGAAAAUUGCCAUUGAUACUGUAGGGCUUGAGUAUAGUUCCUUGGCGGAAUAUGACAUGUAGUGGUGAAAUACAUAGAGAUGUCAUAGAACACCGAUUGCGAAGGCAGCUGACGAAACUAUAACUGACACUGAGGCUCGAAAAGUGCGGGGAUCAAACAGG
This 253-nucleotide ribosomal RNA is filed under the name uncultured bacterium. RNAcentral's name for it is "partial 16S ribosomal RNA". It matches the Rfam family "Bacterial small subunit ribosomal RNA", at positions 524 to 776 of the family's 1533-position model. The record is from RNAcentral.